This 110-nucleotide Y RNA is filed under the name Cavia aperea (Brazilian guinea pig). RNAcentral's name for it is "Y RNA (ENSCAPG00000004870.1)". It matches the Rfam family "Y RNA". Rfam says of the family: Y RNAs are components of the Ro ribonucleoprotein particle (Ro RNP), in association with Ro60 and La proteins. The Y RNAs and Ro60 and La proteins are well conserved, but the function of the Ro RNP is not known. Lineage: Eukaryota; Metazoa; Chordata; Mammalia; Rodentia; Caviidae. The record is from RNAcentral.
GGCUGGUCCGAAGGUAGUGAGUUAUCUUAAUUGAUUGUUCACUAAGUACAGAUUGAACCCCUUGUUCUACUCUUUCCCCCCUUCUCACUACUGCACUUGACUAGUCUUUU